UCGAUCAAUAGAGCCGAUGAGAGCAUCACUCAUCAUGGACUGUAUCACCUUCAGUAAUUUUUCACAGUUCUUUCUCUGUGUAAUGACAAGCUUGAGUACACAUCAUGGUGUUCGUAAUUGUUGGCCACAGGGGUGGACUUCCUCUUCAAAUUUAGCAUGUAGCAUAUUCAAAGCAAUAUCAAGUCAUACCACACUAAGCUCUUUAUUACCAGAGAUUUUUGGACAGAAGCACAUAAUCUAGAUUUUCUGAAUCAAUAGGCAGAUGGUAGCUACUUUUUUUUUCUCUUUUUUUUUUUUUUUUCCUAGUAUUUUUUCCAACUUGUACAUUUUAAAUUUACAUAACUUGGUUUCACACAUCCGAGGAAGAAACACUGACAUAAAGCUAAUUUUAUCUUCGAUGCAUUUACAAGUAUUUCUCUUUUUUCCCUGACACGUCUCUGUCUAGACUUCUGCCAGAAAGCAGGAACUUUAAUUUUCUCUUUUGCUGAUGUAAAUACCUUUUGACAUUGUGCAGAGAACAGCACGACUCUCACUUUCUCAUGAGGAUGUUGGACCCAUCCACUCCACCACUGAAACCCAUUGGGUUUCCAUCGGCCAAGGUAAGCAGCUCUGACACCUUCCCACUACACACCAUGUUACUGUGCAUAUCACUGAAAUACAUCAUCAUUAUGAGUCCAGGCUGGUUGAAUUUUUUUAUUAUUUUUUUCAGUUUAGUUCACUGAAACAAUGAAGGUUAGCUGCAUCCGACUCUUCAUCUGACUUCAUGUUUUACUAGUCAUUAUUUUUGCAAAGGCCUUAAUUCCCCUCUAAAACAUUUUAAUUAAACUAGCAAUUUCUCAGUGCUGUACUUCGUGAGCAGGUUUUGCAGCAACUUCAAAGAGACACAGAUGUUUACUGAAUUUGGUGUGGUGAUAUUUGAGGCUGCCUACUGGCAAAGAAAAAUUCAUAAACAUCUCUAGGAAACUUUGCUGUGGUAAUGACAACAUUUCCUUCUUAUAUUUUAGCAAGUCUAAUACUUCCCAAUCUCUACAGACAUAUUUCAUAGACACAGGCAUAAGCAUUGUUAUCUACUCACAGUCUGAGCCUUCCCAUAUACUCUGCUGUGGGGUAAAUACCUCUCAGUGCUGAUACCUUGAGCUUUGGCAAAAGGUACAAGAGGCCAUGGGUUAGUUUGCUCUCUGUGUGUCAUCUUACAGAGUAUCAGUAAACUGGGAGUAAGGAAACCAAAGUUCAAUUUCUGCUUGAUUUUCCAUAGCCAUCCAGUGUGAUUUUUGAGUGACCAUUUAGUUUUGUGUGCCUCAGUUCCUACUGGUAAAGGGAUGAAAACAUAUCCUGACUUUUAAUCAACUUAUCUCCUGGUGGCAGGGUCUAUCUCCUAGUGUGCCAAGGGCUUCCUAGCUUUAGAGGGUCCUGGGGUUUUUAAAGCUCUGUUCUAGUAAAAUUAAGAAAUACUAACAAUUUAUUUUGGAGGAGUUUCUCCUUACUUGUGGCAGGUGAGCCUGGAGCUAGUCUGACGAUCUCAAUUUGGUACCAUACCUGUCUGUGGGUAACCAGGCAGGCAGUGGUCCUCUCCAAAUUGAGAUGAUGGGACUAGGGAACAUAGCCAUGGCAGAUCGUAUCUAAAAUGUAGGCCAGGGUCCAGGUAUCUUUUGUGGUUUAGACAGGUAGCUCUGGCCAGAAAAUAUAUGGCCUGUCCAGCUGGAUCACCAGUGAGGCUGAUCUCCAUGUGCUAGAACCUACAACCGGCGGUGAGGCUCGUGCUCCUGUUGAAUCUUUCUGUGCAGGGAAGAAAACCAAGUUUCUUUCCCUGGACAUUUUUCACUCUCAUAUCUUUUUGAAGGAGAAAUAAUAGAAGUACUUGGAAACAGCAUGUGCAUUUCCACUGUGAGCAUCGCCAAGGACCAGCACAGAAAGCCAGCAUGGAGUAUGGCAUGACACGUCAUGUAGCUGCUUUAAUAUACAGUGUAAUUACAGUGACAUAUUUCUGCCUCUUGAAGCAUCAGGGACUGAAGUGAUUGCCCUGAAGGAGUUAGAAUGUUAGCGGGAGAAUUUCGAUCAACUCGAGGUUGGGAAGUGCAGCACUUCCUCUGCAUUGGAUUAAAAGUGAUCAGCAUGGCCAAAGGGGAUCCUGUGAGAGACAGGUAAGCAAGCUGAAAGGAAAUUAGAAAUAUUAAAGAAAUGAAGCUGGACUGGAUAGAACAAGUUUUACAAUUCCCUAUUCCUCUUUGAUUUGAUAGCAUUAGGCGUACUGAAGGGUAGAUUGCGCAGACUUAGGCAUGACAGCAAGAUACUUUUCCGCACGAAUAAACCCCCUGAAAUUAAUUGGACUGCUCACAAAAGUGCCUGGGAAUGUAAACUAGACUUGGGCAUUUCAGCCCUCAGAUCUGAUAUUUCUUCAGCAAUGCAAGGGCCAGGCUGCAUGGUGAACAGCAACAGCUUAGCUAGAAACGUGAAUUCAAACCUCUGGCAGUGAGAUCAAUGUCUCUGUGGAUGUAUUCUUGGAGAAGAGUAUCGCAUUUCAGCUGAAUUCACCUUCGUAAGACACAGAUUAAAAUUAAACCGAAACAAACUAUUCCUGAAAUGAAAGCAGGGCUCAGAGACAGUUUGCUUACCACAAACUGUUGUGCGUUUGCUGUACCAUGGAAUUGCUCACGUGUAUGCUUUUAGCUGGUGACAAAUGCACUCCGUGAGGAUUAGCCUGGCCUGCAAAGAGGGAAGCUUAAAUUUAGGUUGCUCUCCCACGUGUGCUGUGGGAUAAGAACAGAGAGCCAGGCAAUCCCUUGUGUGCAGGUAUGCCUGAGCAUUCAAGAUGUCCACAGAGGCAUUUGCUUAAGCCGAAAUGCUUGUUCACCAAUUGCAAAUGGGCUCGUAAAAAACCAAACCUUAUGUAACAGCCCUCUUGGAUGUUGGUCUGGAAAGAAAUAGCUUUGUUGUUGUUUCAAAGAAUUAGUGAGCCAACAAUGCAAAGCUUUGGAGUUGGUUACUGGGUUUUUACUGCAGUCUCUACGAACUAUACAAAGUCUGAAGACAUUGUACGUACAGUACAUCUUUAAUAAGAAGGGAGCUCACAGUCUACCAAACUCUGCCAAAUAAACUUUUAAUACAUACUGUACUUCACUCAGUAGUUGUCCAUCUCUUCUUCAUGGAAUAUCUAACAGCUCUAAAAAUAUUUUCUUGGAAGAGAAUAGAAUUAUCAUCGUUAUAUAUCAAUCAAGUAUGGUUAAUGAAGCAAAGCCAGCAUGCUAGUAUUGCACAAGGGGAAAAGCCUCCAGAACACAAAGUGGAACAACAAAUGCCCUCAAAAUUCUGCCGAAGGGAACAGGAAGCUCCAGAUGCCGCAUCGGUAGGAUUCGUGUAGCUCUUAGGCGUCCUUGUACCGCAGCAGGUUUGCUUUGCCUCUUCACUGCCACAUUUCUCUCUGAAACAGGUAGGGAUCUUCCAGACCA
This is a long non-coding RNA of Athene cunicularia (burrowing owl), 3446 nucleotides long. RefSeq lists it as uncharacterized. NCBI's taxonomy places the organism in Eukaryota, Metazoa, Chordata, Aves, Strigiformes, Strigidae. The record is from RefSeq and is a predicted model, not a curated record. The transcript is spliced from 2 exons.